CACUCCUGCGGGAGGCAGCAGUGGGGAAUUUUGGACAAUGGGCGAUAGCCUGAUCCAGCAAUGCCGCGUGUGUGAAGAAGGCCUUCGGGUUGUAAAGCACUUUUGUCCGGAAAGAAAUCCUUGGCUCUAAUACAGUCGGGGGAUGACGGUACCGGAAGAAUAAGCACCGGCUAACUACGUGCCAGCAGCCGCGGUAAUACGUAGGGUGCGAGCGUUAAUCGGAAUUACUGGGCGUAAAGCGUGCGCAGGCGGUUUGCUAAGACCGAUGUGAAAUCCCCGGGCUCAACCUGGGAACUGCAUUGGUGACUGGCAGGCUAGAGUAUGGCAGAGGGGGGUAGAAUUCCACGUGUAGCAGUGAAAUGCGUAGAGAUGUGGAGGAAUACCGAUGGCGAAGGCAGCCCCCUGGGCCAAUACUGACGCUCAUGCACGAAAGCGUGGGGAGCAAACAGGAUUAGAAACCCGUGUAGUCCCAUG
This 474-nucleotide ribosomal RNA is filed under the name uncultured organism. RNAcentral's name for it is "partial 16S ribosomal RNA". It matches the Rfam family "Bacterial small subunit ribosomal RNA", at positions 334 to 799 of the family's 1533-position model. The record is from RNAcentral.